AAAAAUCAGUAAAAAAAUAUCAAAAGUAAUUAAAAAAAUACACAAAAUCACUAUCAAAUUCAAAAUCUCCAAACUCCAAAUUCAAAAUCAAUACUAAAAUCGUGACACGGAGUCCUUGAGGUGAGAAAGACGUGUAUUGACCUGCAUAUUGAUACAAGAACUCCAAUGACUCUAAUAUCAUCCCUAACAUCUUCAUACGUCAACUCAACCUUUC
Molecule: long non-coding RNA, 214 nt
Filed under: Lathyrus oleraceus (garden pea)
Lineage: Eukaryota; Viridiplantae; Streptophyta; Magnoliopsida; Fabales; Fabaceae
Description: Pisum sativum (pea) long non-coding RNA (PSAT_LNC016025)
Source: RNAcentral